RNAcentral lists this transfer-messenger RNA (396 nucleotides) under Candidatus Obscuribacterales bacterium. It matches the Rfam family "transfer-messenger RNA". From Rfam's summary of the family: Bacterial tmRNA, also known as 10Sa RNA or SsrA, is named for its dual tRNA and mRNA-like properties. Lineage: Bacteria; Bacillati; Candidatus Melainabacteria; Candidatus Obscuribacterales. RNAcentral also lists the same sequence under 3 other names. The record is from RNAcentral.
GGGGGCGUUUAGAUUCGACAGGGUUGUUUGGUCACAGGCUGCAGGUCGAGGGUGCUGUUCCCUCGUAAAUCAACAAGCAAACAAAUAUAGAUGCCGAUAAUAACGUCAUCGCUUUCCCGGGCGCUAAGCCCGCGCUCCGCGCUGCUUAACUAGAUUAAGUAGGGAAACUCGCUCGGAGCUUUGCUACCCGCUCCGACUCGGGUCAACCAUGGUGGCUGCCAUCGUGCCAAGUUAGCGGUUGAUAGCACGGUCUAAGAUAUAAUCGCGAACCCGGUUGGUCGUUCUGGCCGACUUCAGCGGUUCCUUCGGGAUAUCUGAGGUAAUGCAGAACUAAGCUUGUAGAUGCAUGUUUCCUUUCUUCUUUGGACGCGAGUGCGAUUCUCGCCGCCUCCACCA